RNAcentral lists this transfer RNA (60 nucleotides) under uncultured Campylobacter sp. It matches the Rfam family "tRNA", at positions 8 to 63 of the family's 71-position model. Rfam says of the family: Transfer RNA (tRNA) molecules are approximately 80 nucleotides in length. Their secondary structure includes four short double-helical elements and three loops (D, anti-codon, and T loops). Lineage: Bacteria; Pseudomonadati; Campylobacterota; Epsilonproteobacteria; Campylobacterales; Campylobacteraceae. The record is from RNAcentral.
GUUAGCUCAGCUGGUAGAGCAUCUGACUCUUAAUCAGGCGGUCGUUGGUUCGAUCCCAAC